AAGAGACAGCAGUCGCCGCGGUAAUACGAAGGGGGCUAGCGUUGCUCGGAAUGACUGGGCGUAAAGGGCGCGUAGGCGGCACAUACAGUCAGAAGUGAAAUUCCUGGGCUCAACCUGGGGACUGCUUUUGAUACGUGUGAGCUAGAGUGAGGAGGAGGGUUGUGGAAUUUCCAGUGUAGAGGUGAAAUUCGUAGAUAUUGGAAAGAACACCGGUGGCGAAGGCGGCAACCUGGUCCUUUACUGACGCUGAGGCGCGAAAGCGUGGGGAGCAAACAGGAUUAGAUACCCCCGUAGUCCCUGUCUCUUAUAC
Molecule: ribosomal RNA, 310 nt
Filed under: uncultured bacterium
Lineage: Bacteria
Description: partial 16S ribosomal RNA
Rfam family: Bacterial small subunit ribosomal RNA
Source: RNAcentral